AGUAUAAGAGGUGUUUUAACUU
RNAcentral lists this non-coding RNA (22 nucleotides) under Rattus norvegicus (Norway rat). The record is from RNAcentral. Lineage: Eukaryota; Metazoa; Chordata; Mammalia; Rodentia; Muridae.